RNAcentral lists this ribosomal RNA (707 nucleotides) under Pediococcus pentosaceus. RNAcentral's name for it is "bacterial SSU rRNA". It matches the Rfam family "Bacterial small subunit ribosomal RNA", at positions 64 to 754 of the family's 1533-position model. Lineage: Bacteria; Bacillati; Bacillota; Bacilli; Lactobacillales; Lactobacillaceae. The record is from RNAcentral.
GUACUUGUACUGAUUGAGAUUUUAACACGAAGUGAGUGGCGAACGGGUGAGUAACACGUGGGUAACCUGCCCAGAAGUAGGGGAUAACACCUGGAAACAGAUGCUAAUACCGUAUAACAGAGAAAACCGCAUGGUUUUCUUUUAAAAGAUGGCUCUGCUAUCACUUCUGGAUGGACCCGCGGCGUAUUAGCUAGUUGGUGAGGUAAAGGCUCACCAAGGCAGUGAUACGUAGCCGACCUGAGAGGGUAAUCGGCCACAUUGGGACUGAGACACGGCCCAGACUCCUACGGGAGGCAGCAGUAGGGAAUCUUCCACAAUGGACGCAAGUCUGAUGGAGCAACGCCGCGUGAGUGAAGAAGGGUUUCGGCUCGUAAAGCUCUGUUGUUAAAGAAGAACGUGGGUAAGAGUAACUGUUUACCCAGUGACGGUAUUUAACCAGAAAGCCACGGCUAACUACGUGCCAGCAGCCGCGGUAAUACGUAGGUGGCAAGCGUUAUCCGGAUUUAUUGGGCGUAAAGCGAGCGCAGGCGGUCUUUUAAGUCUAAUGUGAAAGCCUUCGGCUCAACCGAAGAAGUGCAUUGGAAACUGGGAGACUUGANUGCAGAAGAGGACAGUGGAACUCCAUGUGUAGCGGUGAAAUGCGUANAUAUAUGGAAGAACACCAGUGGCGAAGGCGGCUGUCUGGUCUGCAACUGACGCUGAGGCUC